AACGUAGGACGCAAGCGUUAUCCGGAAUUACUGGGCGUAAAGCGCGCGCAGGCGGAUUACCAAGUCAUGUGUGAAAGCUCCCGGCUAAACUGGGAGAGGACAGAUGAUACUGGUAGUCUUGAGGGUGUUAGAGGUGUGUGGAAUUCCGCGUGUAGUGGUGAAAUGCGUAGAGAUGCGGAGGAACACCAGUGGCGAAGGCGGCACACUAGGACCAACCUGACGCUGAGGCGCGAAAGCAUGGGUAGCGAACGGG
This 253-nucleotide ribosomal RNA is filed under the name uncultured bacterium. RNAcentral describes it as "partial 16S ribosomal RNA". It matches the Rfam family "Bacterial small subunit ribosomal RNA", at positions 524 to 776 of the family's 1533-position model. The record is from RNAcentral.